Molecule: ribosomal RNA, 2905 nt
Filed under: Escherichia coli
Lineage: Bacteria; Pseudomonadati; Pseudomonadota; Gammaproteobacteria; Enterobacterales; Enterobacteriaceae
Description: 23S ribosomal RNA
Rfam family: Bacterial large subunit ribosomal RNA
Source: RNAcentral
GGUUAAGCGACUAAGCGUACACGGUGGAUGCCCUGGCAGUCAGAGGCGAUGAAGGACGUGCUAAUCUGCGAUAAGCGUCGGUAAGGUGAUAUGAACCGUUAUAACCGGCGAUUUCCGAAUGGGGAAACCCAGUGUGACUCGUCACACUAUCAUUAACUGAAUCCAUAGGUUAAUGAGGCGAACCGGGGGAACUGAAACAUCUAAGUACCCCGAGGAAAAGAAAUCAACCGAGAUUCCCCCAGUAGCGGCGAGCGAACGGGGAGCAGCCCAGAGCCUGAAUCAGUGUGUGUGUUAGUGGAAGCGUCUGGAAAGGCGCGCGAUACAGGGUGACAGCCCCGUACACAAAAAUGCACAUACUGUGAGCUCGAUGAGUAGGGCGGGACACGUGGUAUCCUGUCUGAAUAUGGGGGGACCAUCCUCCAAGGCUAAAUACUCCUGACUGACCGAUAGUGAACCAGUACCGUGAGGGAAAGGCGAAAAGAACCCCGGCGAGGGGAGUGAAAAAGAACCUGAAACCGUGUACGUACAAGCAGUGGGAGCCUCUUUAUGGGGUGACUGCGUACCUUUUGUAUAAUGGGUCAGCGACUUAUAUUCUGUAGCAAGGUUAACCGAAUAGGGGAGCCGAAGGGAAACCGAGUCUUAACUGGGCGUUAAGUUGCAGGGUAUAGACCCGAAACCCGGUGAUCUAGCCAUGGGCAGGUUGAAGGUUGGGUAACACUAACUGGAGGACCGAACCGACUAAUGUUGAAAAAUUAGCGGAUGACUUGUGGCUGGGGGUGAAAGGCCAAUCAAACCGGGAGAUAGCUGGUUCUCCCCGAAAGCUAUUUAGGUAGCGCCUCGUGAAUUCAUCUCCGGGGGUAGAGCACUGUUUCGGCAAGGGGGUCAUCCCGACUUACCAACCCGAUGCAAACUGCGAAUACCGGAGAAUGUUAUCACGGGAGACACACGGCGGGUGCUAACGUCCGUCGUGAAGAGGGAAACAACCCAGACCGCCAGCUAAGGUCCCAAAGUCAUGGUUAAGUGGGAAACGAUGUGGGAAGGCCCAGACAGCCAGGAUGUUGGCUUAGAAGCAGCCAUCAUUUAAAGAAAGCGUAAUAGCUCACUGGUCGAGUCGGCCUGCGCGGAAGAUGUAACGGGGCUAAACCAUGCACCGAAGCUGCGGCAGCGACGCUUAUGCGUUGUUGGGUAGGGGAGCGUUCUGUAAGCCUGUGAAGGUGUACUGUGAGGUAUGCUGGAGGUAUCAGAAGUGCGAAUGCUGACAUAAGUAACGAUAAAGCGGGUGAAAAGCCCGCUCGCCGGAAGACCAAGGGUUCCUGUCCAACGUUAAUCGGGGCAGGGUGAGUCGACCCCUAAGGCGAGGCCGAAAGGCGUAGUCGAUGGGAAACAGGUUAAUAUUCCUGUACUUGGUGUUACUGCGAAGGGGGGACGGAGAAGGCUAUGUUGGCCGGGCGACGGUUGUCCCGGUUUAAGCGUGUAGGCUGGUUUUCCAGGCAAAUCCGGAAAAUCAAGGCUGAGGCGUGAUGACGAGGCACUACGGUGCUGAAGCAACAAAUGCCCUGCUUCCAGGAAAAGCCUCUAAGCAUCAGGUAACAUCAAAUCGUACCCCAAACCGACACAGGUGGUCAGGUAGAGAAUACCAAGGCGCUUGAGAGAACUCGGGUGAAGGAACUAGGCAAAAUGGUGCCGUAACUUCGGGAGAAGGCACGCUGAUAUGUAGGUGAAGCGACUUGCUCGUGGAGCUGAAAUCAGUCGAAGAUACCAGCUGGCUGCAACUGUUUAUUAAAAACACAGCACUGUGCAAACACGAAAGUGGACGUAUACGGUGUGACGCCUGCCCGGUGCCGGAAGGUUAAUUGAUGGGGUUAGCGGUAACGCGAAGCUCUUGAUCGAAGCCCCGGUAAACGGCGGCCGUAACUAUAACGGUCCUAAGGUAGCGAAAUUCCUUGUCGGGUAAGUUCCGACCUGCACGAAUGGCGUAAUGAUGGCCAGGCUGUCUCCACCCGAGACUCAGUGAAAUUGAACUCGCUGUGAAGAUGCAGUGUACCCGCGGCAAGACGGAAAGACCCCGUGAACCUUUACUAUAGCUUGACACUGAACAUUGAGCCUUGAUGUGUAGGAUAGGUGGGAGGCUUUGAAGUGUGGACGCCAGUCUGCAUGGAGCCGACCUUGAAAUACCACCCUUUAAUGUUUGAUGUUCUAACGUUGGCCCCUGAUCGGGGUUGCGGACAGUGUCUGGUGGGUAGUUUGACUGGGGCGGUCUCCUCCUAAAGAGUAACGGAGGAGCACGAAGGUUGGCUAAUCCUGGUCGGACAUCAGGAGGUUAGUGCAAUGGCAUAAGCCAGCUUGACUGCGAGCGUGACGGCGCGAGCAGGUGCGAAAGCAGGUCAUAGUGAUCCGGUGGUUCUGAAUGGAAGGGCCAUCGCUCAACGGAUAAAAGGUACUCCGGGGAUAACAGGCUGAUACCGCCCAAGAGUUCAUAUCGACGGCGGUGUUUGGCACCUCGAUGUCGGCUCAUCACAUCCUGGGGCUGAAGUAGGUCCCAAGGGUAUGGCUGUUCGCCAUUUAAAGUGGUACGCGAGCUGGGUUUAGAACGUCGUGAGACAGUUCGGUCCCUAUCUGCCGUGGGCGCUGGAGAACUGAGGGGGGCUGCUCCUAGUACGAGAGGACCGGAGUGGACGCAUCACUGGUGUUCGGGUUGUCAUGCCAAUGGCACUGCCCGGUAGCUAAAUGCGGAAGAGAUAAGUGCUGAAAGCAUCUAAGCACGAAACUUGCCCCGAGAUGAGUUCUCCCUGACUCCUUGAGAGUCCUGAAGGAACGUUGAAGACGACGACGUUGAUAGGCCGGGUGUGUAAGCGCAGCGAUGCGUUGAGCUAACCGGUACUAAUGAACCGUGAGGCUUAACCUU